AUCAACUUUCGAUGGUAGGAUAGAGGCCUACCAUGGUGGUAACGGGUAACGGGGUGUUAGGGCACGACACCGGAGAGGGAGCCUGAGAAACGGCUACCACAUCCAAGGAUGGCAGCAGGCGCGCAAAUUACCCAAUCCCGACACGGGGAGGUAGUGACAAUAAAUAACAAUACGGGGUUCUUUAGGAUCUCGUAAUUGGAAUGAGUACAAUUUAAAUCUCUUAACGAGGAACAAUUGGAGGGCAAGUCUGGUGCCAGCAGCCGCGGUAAUUCCAGCUCCAAUAGCGUAUAUUAAAGUUGUUGCAGUUAAAAAGCUCGUAGUUGAAUUUUGGGUCUGGCCGGGCGGUCCGCCCUCCGGGUGAGCACUGUUCCGACGCCGGGCCUAUCCUUCUGGAGAGUCGGCAUGUCCUUUAUUGGGUGUGCCGGGGAACCAGGACCAUUACCUUGAAAAAAUUAGAGUGUUCAAAGCAGGCGUAUGCUCGGAUACAUUAGCAUGGAAUAAUGAAAUAGGACGCGUGGUGCUAUUUUGUUGGUUUCUAGAACCGCCGUAAUGAUUAAUAGGGAUAGUUGGGGGCAUUAGUAUUCAAUUGUCAGAGGUGAAAUUCUUGGAUUUAUUGAAGACUAACUACUGCGAAAGCAUUUGCCAAGGAUGUUUUCAUUAAUCAAGAACGAAAGUUAGGGGAUCGAAGACGAUCAGAUACCGUCGUAGUCUUAACCAUAAACUAUGCCGACUAGGGAUCGGAUGAUGUUAAUUUUUUAAUGACUCAUUCGGCGCCUUACGGGAAACCAAAGUGUUUGGGUUC
RNAcentral lists this ribosomal RNA (802 nucleotides) under uncultured Ambisporaceae. RNAcentral describes it as "SSU rRNA". It matches the Rfam family "Eukaryotic small subunit ribosomal RNA", at positions 314 to 1114 of the family's 1831-position model. The record is from RNAcentral. Lineage: Eukaryota; Fungi; Glomeromycota; Glomeromycetes; Archaeosporales; Ambisporaceae.